This 128-nucleotide non-coding RNA is filed under the name Solanum lycopersicum (tomato). RNAcentral's name for it is "Eukaryotic small subunit ribosomal RNA". It matches the Rfam family "Eukaryotic small subunit ribosomal RNA", at positions 985 to 1112 of the family's 1831-position model. RNAcentral also lists the same sequence under 1 other name. Lineage: Eukaryota; Viridiplantae; Streptophyta; Magnoliopsida; Solanales; Solanaceae. The record is from Rfam by way of RNAcentral.
GAAAGUUGGGGGCUCGAAGACGAUCAGACACCGUCCUAGUCUCAACCAUAAACGAUGCCGACCAGGGAUCGGCGGAUGUUGCUUUUAGUACUCCGCCGGCACCUUAUGAGAAAUCAAAGUUUUUGGGU